GAUGAACGCUGGCGGCGUGCCUAAUACAUGCAAGUCGAGCGAACGGACGAGAAGCUUGCUUCUCUGAUGUUAGCGGCGGACGGGUGAGUAACACGUGGAUAACCUACCUAUAAGACUGGGAUAACUUCGGGAAACCGGAGCUAAUACCGGAUGAUAUUUUGAACCGCAUGGUUCAAAAGUGAACGACGGUCUUGCUGUCACUUAUAGAUGGAUCCGCGCUGCAUUAGCUAGUUGGUAAGGUAACGGCUUACCAAGGCAACGAUGCAUAGCCGACCUGAGAGGGUGAUCGGCCACACUGGAACUGAGACACGGUCCAGACUCCUACGGGAGGCAGCAGUAGGGAAUCUUCCGCAAUGGGCGAAAGCCUGACGGAGCAACGCCGCGUGAGUGAUGAAGGUCUUCGGACCGUAAAACUCUGUUAUUAGGGAAGAACAUAUGUGUAAGUAACUGUGCACAUCUUGACGGUACCUAAUCAGAAAGCCACGGCUAACUACGUG
This 497-nucleotide ribosomal RNA is filed under the name uncultured bacterium. Its description in RNAcentral is "partial 16S ribosomal RNA". It matches the Rfam family "Bacterial small subunit ribosomal RNA", at positions 28 to 507 of the family's 1533-position model. The record is from RNAcentral.